AAUCAUUAGAAAAAUCCACAAAAGGAGAAAUAUUUUCUCCUUUAGUGGUUGUGCAAUGGAGAGAGACAGAGGGGGAGUGGAUGGAGAGAGACAGAGGGAGGGUGGAUGGAGAGAGACAGAGGGGGAGUGGAUGGAGAGAGACAGAGGGAGGGUGGAUGGAGAGAGACAGAAGGAGGGUGGAUGGAGAGAGACAGAGGGAGGGUGGAUGGAGAGAGACAGAGGGGAAGUGGAUGGAGAGAGACAGAGGGGGAGUGGAUGGAGAGAGACAGAGGGAGGGUGGAUGGAGAGAGACAGAGGGAGGGUGGAUGGAGAGAGACAGAGGGAGGGUGGAUGGAGAGAGACAGAGGGGGGUGGAUGGAGAGAGACAGAGGGGGGUGGAUGGAGAGAGACAGAGGGAGGGUGGAUGGAGAGAGACAGAGGGGGGUGGAUGGAGAGAGACAGAGGGGGGUGGAUGGAGAGAGACAGAGGGA
Molecule: long non-coding RNA, 470 nt
Organism: Oncorhynchus keta (chum salmon)
Lineage: Eukaryota; Metazoa; Chordata; Actinopteri; Salmoniformes; Salmonidae
Exons: 4
Source: RefSeq, a predicted model, not a curated record